Molecule: long non-coding RNA, 2488 nt
Filed under: Betta splendens (Siamese fighting fish)
Lineage: Eukaryota; Metazoa; Chordata; Actinopteri; Anabantiformes; Osphronemidae
Description: lncRNA (ENSBSLG00000008171.1)
Source: RNAcentral
GGACAAUGGAUUUACAGGCAUUGGGGAAUGAUUGGAUGUUGGUGAUGAAGCGAUAAAUGUGACUCAAAACAUGAACAACAGGAAGAACAGUAACAGCAUUCGGCAACAGCACACAUUGUUUCACUGUCUCUGACUGUGCGACAGACUUUAGAUUCAUUUAUCAUCAGUACAGUACACAAUAUUUAUGAAGUUUUAACCUGAACUUUUUUUACUUAAUUUUUCAGUUAUCAUUGUGGUGGAUACCACACCUGAUACAACUACCACUGCUCCACCCACCACACCUAAUUCAACUACCCCAGCUUCAACCGGUGAUGCACCAUUUGUCACAACUCCAUUGACAACAACAACUACCACUGCUUCACCCACCACACCUGAUACAACUAUCCCAGCUUCAACCGGUGAUGCACCAUUUGUCACAACUCCAUUGACAACAACAACUACCACUGCUUCACCCACCACACCCGAUACAACUACCCCAGCUUCAACCAGUGAUGCAGUGUUUGUCACAACUCCAUUGACAACAACAACUACCACUGCUUCACCCACCACACCCGAUACAACUACCCCAGCUUCAACCAGUGAUGCAGUGUUUGUCACAACUCCAUUGACAACAACAACUAUCACUGCUUCACCCACCACACCUGAUACAACUACCCCAGCUUCAACCAGUGAUGCACCAUUUGUCACAACUCCAUUGACAACAACAACUACCACUGCUUCACCCACCACACCUGAUACAACUACCCCAGCUUCAACCAGUGAUGCACCAUUUGUCACAACUCCAUUGACAACAACAACUACCACUCCUCCAACCACUACACCUGGAACAACUACCACUACUCCACUAACCACACCUGAUACAAAUACCCCACCUUCAACCAGUGAUGCACCAUUUGUCACAACUCCAUUGACAACAACAACUACCACUGCUUCAACCACCACACCUGAAACAACUACCACUACUCCAACCACCACACCUGAAACAACUACCACUACUCCAACAACCACAUCUGGAAGAACUACCACUACUCCACCCACCACACCUGAUACAACUACCACUACUCCAACCACCACACCUGAAACAACUACCACUACUCCAACCACCACACCUGAAACAACUACCACUACUCCAACAACCACAUCUGGAAGAACUACCACUACUCCACCCACCACACCUGAAACAACUACCACUACUCCAACAACCACACCUGAGACAACUACCACUACUCCAACCACCACACCUGAAACAACUACCACUACUCCAACCACCACACCUGAAACAACUACCACUACUCCAACCACCACACCUGAAACAACUACCACUACCCCAACAACCACACCUGAGACAACUACCACUACUCCAACCACCACACCUAAAACAACUACCACUACUCCAACAACCACACCUGAAACAACUACCACUACUUCAACUACCACACCUGAAACAACUACCACUACUCCAACAACCACACCUGAGACAACUACCACUACUCCAACCACCACACCUGAAACAACUACCACUACUCCAACAACCACACCUGAAACAACUACCACUGCCCCACCCACCACACCUGAAACAACUACCACUACUUCAACUUCCACACCUGAAACAACUACUACUACUCCACCCACCACACCUGGAAGAAAUACCACUACUCCACCCACCAUACCUCAAACAACUACCACUGCUUCAACUCCAGUGACAACAACAACCACAUCUUCAGGCCCCACUAACACAACAACCCGAGAACUACAAUCUCAACACUACUAUUGUGUUGUAGAACUACAAUUCCAGCAGCAACUAGAAAAAGUGAAGCAUCAACAACCAGUCCAUCAUAACCUGCUGAAACUGCCCUGUUUUCUUUUUGUUCACUAAUAUUUAUUUCUCUCCAUCAUAAUUAUAUUUACAUGUGUUUAUGCAGAUACUGUAGUUUGUAGUCACUUGUCUUCCCUGAUUGACGCCUGUUGUCCUUAAGGUCUCACUUUUUAUUUCUAAUGAAAUUAAUCACCAGGUUAAAUGGUCUUCAUCCAUCAAUACUUAUUUUUUAUUGUAAACUUCAACUUAGGCAGCUCCACUUUGUCACUUGUUUGUUAAAACAAUCUGAACAUAGUGUGUGAUCUUUUAUUUUGCUUAGACUACUGUCAUUUAUUGUGAUCCUGUUUUAGCUCCUAGUGUUUGUAUUAUUUCCUGACCUACACUAACUAUCACUGAACCACAGGUCUCUGUCUGAAGCAAAAUGGUGUUAAAUGGUCUUAUUGGGAUUUUGUUGACUUUUGACAAUUUUCAUCUUCAGGAAACUUGGUUAAAAAUCUUUUUAAUCAUAGUUACAUUCUGGGUAUCAUAAAUCAGAGAUUGACUGAAAAGUGAUAUUUGUAGCAUAGUGAACAUGAGACCAUGUGAUCCAACAGGACAUCAAGAAACUGCCACGCUGACAAGUUUGGUAACCAGGAAACUAAUAAACUAUGUUUCUUGCUUAAUCCUUUGUCA